This 910-nucleotide ribosomal RNA is filed under the name Vibrio parahaemolyticus. Its description in RNAcentral is "bacterial SSU rRNA". It matches the Rfam family "Bacterial small subunit ribosomal RNA", at positions 153 to 1058 of the family's 1533-position model. The record is from RNAcentral. Lineage: Bacteria; Pseudomonadati; Pseudomonadota; Gammaproteobacteria; Vibrionales; Vibrionaceae.
AAACCGAUGGCUAAUACCGCAUGAUGCCUACGGGCCCAAAGAGGGGACCUUCGGGCCUCUCGCGUCAGGAUAUGCCUAGGUGGGAUUAGCUAGUUGGUGAGGUAAGGGCUCACCAAGGCGACGAUCCCUAGCUGGUCUGAGAGGAUGAUCAGCCACACUGGAACUGAGACACGGUCCAGACUCCUACGGGAGGCAGCAGUGGGGAAUAUUGCACAAUGGGCGCAAGCCUGAUGCAGCCAUGCCGCGUGUGUGAAGAAGGCCUUCGGGUUGUAAAGCACUUUCAGUCGUGAGGAAGGUAGUGUAGUUAAUAGCUGCAUUAUUUGACGUUAGCGACAGAAGAAGCACCGGCUAACUCCGUGCCAGCAGCCGCGGUAAUACGGAGGGUGCGAGCGUUAAUCGGAAUUACUGGGCGUAAAGCGCAUGCAGGUGGUUUGUUAAGUCAGAUGUGAAAGCCCGGGGCUCAACCUCGGAAUUGCAUUUGAAACUGGCAGACUAGAGUACUGUAGAGGGGGGUAGAAUUUCAGGUGUAGCGGUGAAAUGCGUAGAGAUCUGAAGGAAUACCGGUGGCGAAGGCGGCCCCCUGGACAGAUACUGACACUCAGAUGCGAAAGCGUGGGGAGCAAACAGGAUUAGAUACCCUGGUAGUCCACGCCGUAAACGAUGUCUACUUGGAGGUUGUGGCCUUGAGCCGUGGCUUUCGGAGCUAACGCGUUAAGUAGACCGCCUGGGGAGUACGGUCGCAAGAUUAAAACUCAAAUGAAUUGACGGGGGCCCGCACAAGCGGUGGAGCAUGUGGUUUAAUUCGAUGCAACGCGAAGAACCUUACCUACUCUUGACAUCCAGAGAACUUUCCAGAGAUGGAUUGGUGCCUUCGGGAACUCUGAGACAGGUGCUGCAUGGCUGUCGUCAG